UGGAAGCAAAUCUGAAGAAUAAACUCGAUCCAUCUCCUCGUCAACAAAGGAAACACGAAUGAAGUUAUCAAUAUCAUCUGGAUAAUUGCGUAGUACACGAUUUGAGACAUUGACCUCAGGACCAGAAGAAAAUACACGACAUGGUGUAAUUUGGACCCUGCGUACAUAUACCAACCCAGAAUCUAAGGAUAUGACAGAUGACUGUGGACGUCUCUUUGACGUGAGGUACUUCCUGUACUGCUCAUUAAGCCACUCUGAAGGUUUAUAGCAGGUCUCUUUCAAAUUAUAUAAUUUCUCUAGGGCAUACUCUAUACAUGCACGAUCAAAUCUGUGCGGAUCAACCAUCUUAUAAAAUAUAACAUCAAGUGUUGGCCCUGAAAGAUACCCAAGCUGAAGCAGAGAAUGAACUUUAAACAAGAUAUCAUAUGGCACAUACACAUUGACACCUCGAGGAGGACAAACCAUGGGACCCAGACUCGGGUUGCAAGAAUAAGGGGGACCAACCUCCAAGACAAGGUUACCUUCAAUCUCUUCAUACCCAGGAAAGUUUUCUCGAAAAUCUGGAAGUUGGAGACUAUGAGGAAGCUCCAAGCUUAAUGCAAAAGACUGCCCAAUAGCACGUGAUGGAGUGAAAUCAGUAGUCCUGACCCAUUGAUCAUCAGAGUCCAUGAAAUAGGUCAUACCAAGAUCUUCAUAUGCUUGUCCUGAAGAGCGUAUGACUUUCUUAGAAAUCCGAGGUGCUCCGUACAUCUGAUAAUUGGAGACAAAUCAUCAAACUUUUCAAGAUUACUAAUUCAUAAAAGAGAACAUUUAAUUUUUCGCCAACUGCAGUAGCAUGCUUUGACGAUGUUAAUAAAAAUAUUCCAUUCAUACUAUAUUCUCAGAAUUUUAUCCACUUCCCUCAACACCUCAAAUUGUAGAAACUACAAACUUUUAAAUUCCAUCAAACGAAGAAAAUUGAUUUUUGCUCAAAUCCAGACAAGGAUUACCAUGUUAACCCUUAAAGUGAACAACCCUCAAUUCUCUAGACUGGUGAUUUGACGCUCACCAAUUUGCUAGAAAUGGGAAAGCAGAAAAAGGUCACAUAUAUUUAGAAGCAAAUGCACCAUGUAGAUGAUAUAAAAUUAUUCAAUCGUAAACAGAACAAGGAUUAGGAGAAGACAAUCAUUUGAAUUUAACUGCUGAUUAAAAAUAGGUGAGGAACCUGAAUCAGAAGAUGCUUAGCAGCACAACCGCGUGGACGAUGCAACUCAAUCUGCCAGAUGUUUUCAUAGGAAAGUUCGAUCAUAUACUCCAGAGCGUCAUAUUUCAGACGACAAACUAGUUUCCGCAAUCCAAUCCCAAAAUCCACUGAAACAUUGUUCAUAUUCCAGAAACUAAAUAGCUUAUUUGUUGCGAUCUUGCAGCCAAAAUCCAGCUUUAUGUUUUCAAAGGUAUGCAAAGAGCCUCUUGGCUUUGGUACAAUAUCCUGAUCCAGCUUCCAAGAAUUCAGAUAGGAAGCGCCAUAGUACAAGUUUCUAGCACUGGCCAUGUAGUGAAUAAGAUCAGCAUUUUUGGUGGUGUCAAACUGAACAGUAGCAUAAUAUCUUCUCCCAUCUUUGGCUUUUCUUAAUCUCACAGCAUAGACAGAUCCUUUUCCUGUUUCUUUCUCCAGCAACCGCACAACUGCUUCUGCAGUCACACCGGAAGUGAAUCCAUGCAACCUUAUCGUCCUACUCAUCUCUUAUCAUGUGAAUAUGUUCACUGUAUUUACGCUGACAAAGAAUCCAUAUGAGUAAAAUGUACUUGUAUGGUUUUAUUGAAAUUAUGAAAUUAAGGGCUCGUUUGGGAGAGCUUUUUAAAUGACUAAAAGCGCAUUUGGGGAAAAUGUUUUUGGGUUCCAAAAGCACUUAAACUGCUUCCUACGAGUAGUGGUGCUUCUUGUAGGAAGCACUUCAAGUGCUCUUCCACCAGUUAUGUGCUUGUUUUAGGAAGCAGUACUUCAAGUGUUUUUCCAAAAUUCACCCGCAUUUUUACUAAAGGUUGGUUCCAAAAAUAUUUUUUCACAAAACGCUUUCAGCUAUUUUAAGACAAUAGCAGUUCCAACCGAAAACCAGAAAGUCUCAAUGAAUCCAAGAAAAUACAACAACAACAAAGCCUUUUCCCACUAAGUGGGGUCGGCUAUGUGAAUCCUAGAACGCCAUUGCGCUCGGUUUUGUGUCAUGUCCUCCGUUAGAUCCAAGUACUCUAAGUCUUUUCUUAGGGUCUCUUCCAAAGUUUUCCUAGGUCUUCCUCUAACCAAGAAAAUAAAUUGAAAUUAUUAAGCUAAGAACAAUUAUGAACCUCAUAAACCAAAGCCACUCAAAUGCAAAACAUGCAACAACCUAACAAGUAUAUGAUUAUUUUUAGGGGAUCAACAAUCAGAAAGAACACGAUGAUAAUUCUGCUCUACAAAAAAAUAAAAGCAAAACAACCAAAAAGGAGAGGCCUUUUUUUUUAUGCAAUUGCAGUUGAGAGAAAAUGUGCUUCUUACGAGAAGUUUAAGUGUUUUUCAUGAUUCACUUGCAUUUUUAUUAUAGAUUAGUCCCAAAAACAUUUUUUCACAAAAAAAAAAAAAACGCUCUCAGCUAUUUUAAAAGCAGUUCCAAACGAUCCCUAAGAGAAGCAGAAAGUCUGGAUGUAUCCAAGAAAAGUUAAGGUAAGAACAAAUAUGAACCUCAUAACCCAAAGCCACCCAAAAGCAAAACAUGUAACAACCUAGCAAGUAUAUGAUUAUUUUUUAGAGGAUCAGAUCAACAAUCAGAAAGAACAAGAUGAUAAUUCUGCUAUACAAAAAAGAUGCAAAACAACCAAACAAAGAGAGGCCUUUUGUUAUGCAAUUGCAGUUGAGAGCAAAAGCACAGAUUUUUUCACUGAACAAAACUAAGCACAAAAAUACCCAAUCCAUCCAAAAUUAUAAAAAAUUCAGAACGAAAAAAAACUGGACAAAUACCCCAAUGAAUCUCCCAAUGAUGCAGGAAGAGUAAAGGACACAGAUUUAUCAGAGGGAGAAACCCAAAGAGGAAAUUACACAGGCAAAAAUACCAUCUGCAUAAAAACUUGAUCAAACACAACUAAUCAAUCACACACCAACAAAAACUACAGAGAAAAAACAGAAACUGCAGAGACAAUUAGGGUGCGUUUGGUACGCAGACGGGACGGGACGGAAUAGGACGGAACGGGACGGGACGGAACGGAACGAAGGUGUAAUUUUUUGAAAAAUACAUGGGGUAUAUUUGUCUUAAAAUGGUAAAACAAUGUGUUCCACAGACGUGGAACAAACCCGUUCCAGGGGGAAGUGGGACGCAAAANUUCGAUGGACUCAAGUACAUAACGGUUAUAUGCAUGUUAACUGGAAGAUGUGAUGAUAUUGAUUUUUUCAAUCGAAAUCAGUGUUCUUGAUUUUUACAUUAUAUAAUCUACUGCAAACACAUAAAGACACAGAAUGGAUAUUUUGAACUAAAUUCACGAACUCAUGAUGCAUUACACAUUCUUACCUUGGUCCUUUUUGGGGAAAAACAACACAAUCAACCAUAUGGUACAACUCUGGCACAUCCACAGCCUUUAAAACACGUACAUCGCCAGGGUGCAAACAAGGGUUCUUAGCAACAGCUACCUUCCCCACAAUAAUGAAUCGCUGGUUUGAUGCACUUACAGUAUGCCUGUUACCAGAGAAUUGCACAAACACCUCACCAUAUUCCAAUGUUCUGGUUUCAUCUAGACAUCCCAUCAUUGCUCGUCCAUCUGGAAUAAAGAUUCUUGUUUUCGUCCGCAACUCUAGCAACUUUGAUGCCCGAAAUGUUUGCAGCAUCAUUGAAAUGAAGGGUUCAACAUCAGGUUUAUAACCACAUAUAAGCAAUUCCUUCAAGCAGUUGGUAGUCUCCCCUGCAGACAUCAAAUCCAGAGCCUCUUGUGCUUUUAGUGGGUCAGUCAAUAUAGCAUUCAAUUGUUGUACAGCUGCCUUUUGUUUUUUCAUGAAAGCAGGAUCUGGAACCCCAAGGGUGGAUAAAAGACUUAUCAACUGGCGGUUCAGAAAACAAGGUUGAAUCUUGCUACAUGCUAAAACGUCUAACUUUGUGUUUUCUGAUUCAUACUUGGACAUGCUCCUCCUCAAUGAUAAUUUCAUUGAUGAAGUUGGAUCAACGGCCACCACACCUUUGUACCCACCAUAUCGAAUCUGAAAGGCAGAUGGAGUCCCAUUAAAGCCACAUUUUGAGGCCACUUUCUUAGCAAAAUCAGCAGAUAUUUUCCCAAUCCCAUCGGAGAAGACAUAUUUAUUGUUUUCUACAUCGGGAAUAACUUCCAUUUCAUGUUUUCCAACAUUUAAAGUUUCAGUGGACGAACCAAAGGAUUGACCUAAUCUGGCAGCAUAUUUUGCUACAUUUUUUAUACGACGAAAAUCCCCCAUCCACUCUCUUAUAUUGGCUGCAGUAAGUCCCCGUCUUGAAGCAAACAUCCACAUAGAAUUCUCUCGCAAUUGACUUGAUGAGAAUGCGAGAAACUCGAAUUUCUUUUCACCAAUUACUAUGCCGUUUCUGAGAAUAAAAAGAAUCCGCUUGUAGAUGUCGGUUUUCCCAUCCUCAUAGGCAGCAGAAGUACGUGGAAGCAAAUCUGAAGAAUAAACUCGAUCCAUCUCCUCGUCAACAAAGGAAACACGAAUGAAGUUAUCAAUAUCAUCUGGAUAAUUGCGUAGUACACGAUUUGAGACAUUGACCUCAGGACCAGAAGAAAAUACACGACAUGGUGUAAUUUGGACCCUGCGUACAUAUACCAACCCAGAAUCUAAGGAUAUGACAGAUGACUGUGGACGUCUCUUUGACGUGAGGUACUUCCUGUACUGCUCAUUAAGCCACUCUGAAGGUUUAUAGCAGGUCUCUUUCAAAUUAUAUAAUUUCUCUAGGGCAUACUCUAUACAUGCACGAUCAAAUCUGUGCGGAUCAACCAUCUUAUAAAAUAUAACAUCAAGUGUUGGCCCUGAAAGAUACCCAAGCUGAAGCAGAGAAUGAACUUUAAACAAGAU
This 5038-nucleotide long non-coding RNA is filed under the name Malus domestica (apple). RNAcentral describes it as "long non-coding RNA (MDOM_LNC011730)". The record is from RNAcentral. Lineage: Eukaryota; Viridiplantae; Streptophyta; Magnoliopsida; Rosales; Rosaceae.